Molecule: ribosomal RNA, 109 nt
Filed under: Chinchilla lanigera (long-tailed chinchilla)
Lineage: Eukaryota; Metazoa; Chordata; Mammalia; Rodentia; Chinchillidae
Source: RNAcentral
GUCUAUGGCCUUACCACCGUGAAUGAGCCCGAUCUUAUCUGAUCUCAGAAGCUAAGCAGGGUUGGGCCUGGUUAGUACUUGGAUGGGAGAUCUACACAUAUCAUAUUUC